CUUUCUUCCGGUCUUUUAGAGCAUCAUCUUCACUGUGUCCUGUACCUGUGCUUCUCUGCGUUGUCUCCAGUGCUUGCCGUUUUCAUUGCUCUUUCUUAGCUUAAUGCGUUCCUGGUCGCCUAAAGUAGACUUGGAAAAUCAGAAAACACAAGCACGUUUGGAAUUCAUCUCCUACCCAGAGCUCCGACUUGGAUCAUUAACUGCCUGGAAACGAUCCAAGACAACAGAUGAUACUCAGCUAGAACACUGAACUAUUAAAGCAUUUGGAUGAAAUAUUAACGUGAACAAUCCGCAGGCUUUCCCAGGACUAGAGUCAAUGAGACCAACCAGUUCCAAUGCAAACAAAAGUGAAGCAUGGCUGUGAAUCGGCUUUCAAGCCCUUAAGUCAUCCUGUCUGAAUCAAUAAUGAAGCACAUGGUGUUAGAAGACCCUAAGUAACAAUGAGACAUGCCAUAUUCCUGAAUUGGAAAAGGCACUGCUUUGGAAAUG
This 489-nucleotide long non-coding RNA is filed under the name Mus spicilegus (steppe mouse). RNAcentral describes it as "lncRNA (ENSMSIG00000027790.1)". Lineage: Eukaryota; Metazoa; Chordata; Mammalia; Rodentia; Muridae. The record is from RNAcentral.